This 325-nucleotide long non-coding RNA is filed under the name Gossypium barbadense (sea-island cotton). RNAcentral's name for it is "long non-coding RNA (GBAR_LNC019940)". The record is from RNAcentral. Lineage: Eukaryota; Viridiplantae; Streptophyta; Magnoliopsida; Malvales; Malvaceae.
AAAAGUGGUAUAAUAUGGUUUGGUAAAAGGGGUAAUUUGAAUAUCUAUAAAUGACAUAUUGUUUUGAUGUUAAGAUAUGAGAUACUAUGUUUAUCUUAUAGACUGGGUGAUGGAGAUGUUAUGAUUUAUUGAGUUAAAUUUGAUAACCGAAAGGUUAUUUUUUUAAAAUUGUUGGACAUUUGAGAUAUGAAUACAUAUGCCUAUUUAAUGUUUGCUUGUAGUUUCGUUUUAAAAAGGUCAAAUCAUUGAUUCAAUGAUGGUUAUAAAAUGUGUUAUAUAUAUAUAGGUAGUUAUAUGUUCGGCUAUGGUAUUUGACUAUUUAGGC